This 755-nucleotide ribosomal RNA is filed under the name Pseudogymnoascus sp. RNAcentral's name for it is "partial large subunit ribosomal RNA". It matches the Rfam family "Eukaryotic large subunit ribosomal RNA", at positions 141 to 914 of the family's 3401-position model. Lineage: Eukaryota; Fungi; Ascomycota; Leotiomycetes; Thelebolales; Thelebolaceae. The record is from RNAcentral.
AGUUGUAAUUUGUAGAGGAUGCUUCGAGCAUGGUCUGGCCUAAGUUCCUUGGAACAGGACGUCAUAGAGGGUGAGAAUCCCGUAUGCGGCCAGGUGCCUACGCUCAUGUGAAGCUCCUUCGACGAGUCGAGUUGUUUGGGAAUGCAGCUCAAAAUGGGUGGUAAAUUUCAUCUAAAGCUAAAUAUUGGCCAGAGACCGAUAGCGCACAAGUAGAGUGAUCGAAAGAUGAAAAGCACUUUGGAAAGAGAGUUAAACAGUACGUGAAAUUGUUGAAAGGGAAGCGCUUGCAACCAGACUUGCGCGCGGCCGAUCAUCCGGUGUUCUCACCGGUGCACUCGGCCGUGCUCAGGCCAGCAUCGGUUUUGGCGGCUGGAUAAAGGCCCUAGGAAUGUAGCUCCUCUCGGGGAGUGUUAUAGCCUAGGGUGCAAUGCAGCCUGCUGGGACCGAGGACCGCGCUUCGGCUAGGAUGCUGGCGUAAUGGUUGUAAGCGGCCCGUCUUGAAACACGGACCAAGGAGUCUAACAUCUAUGCGAGUGUUUGGGUGUCAAACCCAUACGCGUAAUGAAAGUGAACGGAGGUGAGAACCCUUAAGGGUGCAUCAUCGACCGGUCCUGAAGUUUACGGAAGGAUCUGAGUAAGAGCAUAGCUGUUGGGACCCGAAAGAUGGUGAACUAUGCCUGAAUAGGGUGAAGCCAGAGGAAACUCUGGUGGAGGCUCGCAGCGGUUCUGACGUGCAAAUCGAUCGUCAAAUUUGG